RNAcentral lists this long non-coding RNA (2219 nucleotides) under Volvox carteri. RNAcentral describes it as "long non-coding RNA (VCAR_LNC003187)". The record is from RNAcentral. Lineage: Eukaryota; Viridiplantae; Chlorophyta; Chlorophyceae; Chlamydomonadales; Volvocaceae.
CUCACUCCGACAGGCCCCAAUUCCCGGGGAGAGGGCAACCACACGAGUACACAAAACACACACAGCCCGGAUCCUCAACUCCCCCUGCUAGACCACGCUCAGGGCGCUGCCCCCUCGCCCUGCCCUCCACCUGCCCAGGGCCUCCCGGCUCUCCUCGCUCCCUCACCUAUCCCUACUCCUGGCUUCCUCACCCCCUCCCUCACUCUCCCUGCUCCCUUUCCAGUAAGACCUCGACCCGACUCUAUCUCGGCUAUUUAGGCCGUGAUUUCCACUGGUGCUGCGCACCGCAUCCGUUCCUCCACGACCGCCAGGAUGGGGUGCUGCGGCCCGACUCUGUCCCAGCCGUGUCUGGGGGUCUCCAGCAUUGCGAACGAGCGCAGACGCGCCCAGAAGUCUGCCACCGCCCGGGCGCGUGCGCGGGCCAGUGGCGAGGCUCCUGUUGCGCCCGCUAUUGCUGCUGCUGCCACCGCCUCGCCGCCUCCCGCCCCUGCUUCCUGCGUUGGCCCGUCAUCCGCUGGGGCGUUUAGGGUGGGUCCUUCUUGCUGCAUUGCACCUCCCGCCGGGGUGAAGAAAUCUGUGAUGGCCCGCUGGCGGGAUCUCUGCUGCUGGGGCUGCCCCAUCAUCUGUNNNNNNNNNNNNNNNNNNNNNNNNNNNNNNNNNNNNNNNNNNNNNNNNNNGGCGAUGCUUACCACCUCGCCAGCAGUCCGGAGAGGACGGCUCCAGCUGGGGCCAGUCCAACUCCUACCCAGUAGCCCCCCGGUGGAAGUGGAGCUACCCAUCACGAACCUGUACAAGGCGGAACGGCCCUACUGGGAGAUCAAGGGGAUCCCCACCAACCUGGAUCCCAGAGCCAUCCCUGGUUUCCUUGCCGUCUGCUACUUCACUUCGUGGUUCCGGCGGGAUGAAUCAGACAUCCAUGAGCUGAAUCCCACUCUGAUGGCAGACACCUGGCGAGUCAAGGUGGCGCAGGACACCCCCGGUCUACCGGGUGAAAAACACUACGAACUCGCCAGGGCGGGGGUGGCAACCAGGUCCGGCAUACUGAGGGCCUCCAGACUGAAACGGAACGAUCAGGAGGGACCCUUCACUAUGCCGUGCAAAGCACCACCAAGGAAGGAGCUGGCGCGCCAGACACAGCAGUUACAGCAAAUGCGGCGGCAGGGCCGUACUGCACAGCCUGUAGCUGCCGUGGGCCAACCAGGCCCCUCAAACGGGGGAGGGCCCUCGUAUGCAGCGGCCGUGAUGCGGCCAAGGUGGGGCAUGGAGGCAGCCAUGGGAGCAGGACCCCAGCUUGCACCCAUGGGGAGGGGGCUCAACCCGGAGCUGCAGCCGUAUAUCACACCCCCACCCGUGCCGCCUGCUUCAGCCAUCACCACCACCAAUGUGGCCGGGGUAACCUCCACCACCAUUACCACGGCCGCAAACACCCCAGCCGCCAUAGCAGCUACCAAUCAUGCAGCCAGCAACCCCGCCGUACCUGCGCAGCCAUUGCAGCGGUCCACUCACAAACGAGGCGAAACUGGUCCGCACGUCAGUCUCCUCCUGGGGAUUGCGGGCUCUCGGAUGCAGCCCAGCGCGAGACACAGCAAAAACACCUAAAGCCGCGGGGGGGAUGACAAGCCAGCACGGCGCCCCCCAAUAAAGCCCAGAAAAGGCACGGCUCGCAGACGCUGCCUGCUCCCGCUAACCACACCGAAAUCCCUCCCCUCCUGACCCUGACCGGCCGGAACCAGCAACACCUGUUCUCCACCUCCAAAACACUCUUCUCCACCGCUUUCCCACCUCCUCUCCACUCCCACAAGCCACCUACGUGUUCUCUACUCUGAUGCCAGACAGCACAGAACCCAUUCCCCUCACUCCGACAGGCCCCAAUUCCCGGGGAGAGGGCAACCACACGAGUACACAAAACACACACAGCCCGGAUCCUCAACUCCCCCUGCUAGACCACGCUCAGGGCGCUGCCCCCUCGCCCUGCCCUCCACCUGCCCAGGGCCUCCCGGCUCUCCUCGCUCCCUCACCUAUCCCUACUCCUGGCUUCCUCACCCCCUCCCUCACUCUCCCUGCUCCCUUUCCAGUAAGACCUCGACCCGACUCUAUCUCGGCUAUUUAGGCCGUGAUUUCCACCGGUGCUGCGCACCGCAUCCGUUCCUCCACGACCGCCAGGAUGGGGUGCUGCGGCCCGACUCUGUCCCAGCCGUGUCUGGGGGUCUCCAGCAUUG